GUACAACAUGUAGAAGAGUUUACAUUUCUUAAUAACAUAACACUUAUCACAUCACAACAUAAAACAUACUAUUCAUUUUAUUAAGAUUUCGCAGCGGACAACAAGCACAAAUAUUAUCGUUCAUCUUAGUCAUCAUAAACAACUUAAAUAGUAAUCAAUUAGCUAUCGAAUCCCAUAAUUCCCGGUGUCACAUGACCAGAGCAUUUGACUCGACUCUGUAGAAUAACUCUACACUUAU
Molecule: long non-coding RNA, 238 nt
Filed under: Lathyrus oleraceus (garden pea)
Lineage: Eukaryota; Viridiplantae; Streptophyta; Magnoliopsida; Fabales; Fabaceae
Description: Pisum sativum (pea) long non-coding RNA (PSAT_LNC007290)
Source: RNAcentral